This 492-nucleotide ribosomal RNA is filed under the name uncultured bacterium. RNAcentral's name for it is "partial 16S ribosomal RNA". It matches the Rfam family "Bacterial small subunit ribosomal RNA", at positions 29 to 507 of the family's 1533-position model. The record is from RNAcentral.
AGUGAACGCUGGCGGUAGGCCUAACACAUGCAAGUCGAACGGCAGCACAGUAAGAGCUUGCUCUUACGGGUGGCGAGUGGCGGACGGGUGAGGAAUACAUCGGAAUCUACUUUUUCGUGGGGGAUAACGUAGGGAAACUUACGCUAAUACCGCAUACGACCUACGGGUGAAAGCAGGGGAUCUUCGGACCUUGCGCGAUUGAAUGAGCCGAUGUCGGAUUAGCUAGUUGGCGGGGUAAAGGCCCACCAAGGCGACGAUCCGUAGCUGGUCUGAGAGGAUGAUCAGCCACACUGGAACUGAGACGCGGUCCAGACUCCUACGGGAGGCAGCAGUGGGGAAUAUUGGACAAUGGGCGCAAGCCUGAUCCAGCCAUACCGCGUGAGUGAAGAAGGCCUUCGGGUUGUAAAGCCCUUUUGUUGGGAAAGAAAAGCAGCAGGUUAAUACCCCGCUGUUCUGACGGUACCCAAAGAAUAAGCACCGGCUAACUUCGUG